Molecule: long non-coding RNA, 1526 nt
Filed under: Sus scrofa (pig)
Lineage: Eukaryota; Metazoa; Chordata; Mammalia; Artiodactyla; Suidae
Description: lncRNA (ENSSSCG00035038035.1)
Source: RNAcentral
GGGGCAUGCUCAUGGGUUAAAUUCACUUGUUUGUUUUUCCUUUUUUGGGGGGCCGCAUUCGAGAGACUUGGAAGGUCCCUGGGCCAGGGAUUGAAUCAGAGCCGCAUGGGCGACCUACGCCACAGCUGAGGUAACACGGGACCCUUAACCCACUGCAGCACAGCGGGAACUCCCUGCUGCACGUCUCUGAGCCACACUGUCUUCCUUGAGGAGGCGCUGCUGAGGGUGACGGAGACCCCCCUACUGGAGGUGCCACUGAGGUGUGGCAGGGAGGGGGCAUCCAUCCGUCUGUCCCCAGGCCUCGGACCCUGGUGCCUGAGAGACACGGAUGCUGCAAGACUCCAUCUCCAGCACCACCACUGCUGCGCUCAGACCCUGGGGCUCUGUCAGGAGUCUGCCCUGCACGGCUUUUAUCAAAACAUCCAAAACUAGGCCAGAGACAAGGCCAGGGAACCUGCAGCCCUCGGGCCACUCCAGGCCGCCUACCAGGUUCCGGCAGAGCUGCCGGGCGGGAAGUGGACCCCGCGGGCACUUUCGAGCCUCUGCACCCCAGCGUCCCUUCUGCUGCCGAAAGAGUUCUCCACAGAGCGCUGCUGGAGUCCGGGAGCCUGGAGUCUGUGAACCUGGAUGAGAAAACAGUCACAUCCAUAUCGGCACCGACUAAAUUCAGCAUCGCCCUGCCUUGUGAAUGUGAGCAGCAAAACCCAGUGAGGUCUGUGGUUUUGCCACCGACGUUAUCAACCACAAACCCUACUGGGUUUCCGAACAUCCUACCUUUAUUGCAGAAAUUUCAGGAUGGCAUUUGGACUCAAAUCACGGUAGUUCUUAAAUCCACCACUAGGUAUUCUUUUAAAUGUGCUAAGAAGAAGUUGGAGUUCCCUGGUGGCCUAGCUGGUUAGGGAUCCUGCAUUAUCACUGCUGUAGCUGGGUUAGAUUCCUGGCCUGGGAGUGUCUGCAGGCUGCUGGCCAAAAAAAAAGAAGAAGAAGGAGAAAAGGAAGAGGAAGGGGAAGAAAAGAAGAAGAGGCAUGUAUAUUAAAAAAUAGUUUGACAAAUUUCAGUGCAUUUGGCUUCCUUUAUAAUCCUACAUAUUUUGCUAUUUUGCAUUGUGCAUUUAAAAACAUGAUCCUGAGAAGGGGUGUCAAAAGCCUAGUUAAUUUUUUUUUUUUUUUUUUUUGGCUGUGCCCAAGGCAGGUGGAAGUUCCCCGGCCAGGGACUGAAUCUGAGCCACGACAGUGACCCAAGCCACCGCAGUGAAAAUGCUGGAUCCUUAACCUGCUGCACCACAAGAACACUCAAAAGCCUAGUUGAGGUAAUGCCGGGGAGCUGAUAUUCUGGAGCGCUGGCAGUCAUUUUGUGACUCUGAGGGUAAAGCUGACUCAGUGAGAAGGGCAGACUGAGGAGUGGGGGAAGUUCCAGGGUCCUUUCCCAGCUAUGACCAGAAUUAACCAACCGGGGAAAGUCCCCUCUUCUGGGCUUAUUUCUUGCUGUAACACAUGGCCUCGUUGUUUAGCCAGUUGAGUCAGGG